This is a long non-coding RNA of Drosophila biarmipes, 2515 nucleotides long. RefSeq lists it as uncharacterized. The record is from RefSeq and is a predicted model, not a curated record. Lineage: Eukaryota; Metazoa; Arthropoda; Insecta; Diptera; Drosophilidae. The transcript is spliced from 11 exons.
UACAGUGGAAACUCCCCGACAAAAAGUAGAGUCUCUGCUUUGGGGCCUCCACUGUACUUGUUGUCGCCUGGUCUACAUGCACGAUCUCACUCAAAUAGUUAUACAACUCGCUCUGGGGGCCAAAUAGCAGUGAGCAAGUGAAAUUGCAGUGCGAAGGAAUUUCGAAAAACCAGUUAGAACCAUGGCAACGUUGAGAAUGGGGCUUACAGUCCCGACCCGCCCCCGGCCACCCACAAAAACAGUUAAACAGGUGCAAAAAAGCACACCAAGACGGAGUCGAAAGAGCGGGAAGAGAGCGGUGGAAAGCUUAGAGGAGAAGAGCAUGGAUCGGAAUCAGUGUGGCCAAAGCCACCGAAGCUGCGUGACAAAACAACAACACGUGAUUAAAGUUUAGAGUCGUAUAACUCCUACAAUAUCCUACAAAAGAUUGAUUUUCCAAAUUAAUGAAAAUUUGAAUAAUAAAAUGUAGCCUAACUGAAACUACCUAUAUACGAAAGCGACCCCUAGAAUACCCCACAAUCUAUCAACGAUUCAUUGGAACGAUCAAAUCUUGUGCAACACGAGACAGUAUUGAAAAUAGUCAUUAUUCGUUCGACAUCAUUAGCACUACUGUGGGAUUCUUGAUAUUUGUAGAUAACAAAAGAACGAAGGCAAACUUUGACGUCACUGUGUUGUUGCUGUGCAGAGCAAACGACGACGACAGCGACAAAUGUGGAGAUCAACAGAUCAGUCACUCGCAGACCGAAACUAAAAAGUAACCAAAAAAGAAAAAAAUAAAACAAAAAGAUCGCUUCGAAAAGACAUUUUCCACCGAACAAACACAGACACGCACACACAUGCACAUGGCAGUUCUAGCUCAUAAUUAAUGACCUAUGGGCUAUGGUCACUCCCAAAGUCAGUUGACCGGAAGUUUCGGUGAGUGAUAGUGUGUGUGUUGGUGCCUUUGGACAGAUCACUGGAAAUAUGGAGGAGGAACUGGACUCCAGGAUGCAGUGCAUCCAGUUCUAGGUUAAAAAUGGAUGCUAUGGUCAUCCAUAGUCAAAGCCAGUUGACCGGAAGUUCCAGCGAAUGAUUGAGUGUGUGUUGGUGCUUUUGGACAAAUCACUGGAUAUGUAUGGAUAGAUACGGAGCUUUUGUUAUAUUUGCUGGAUAUAUGUAUAGAUAUAUAUGGAAAAGUCGUAGUUCAAGACGGCAGAGCAUGGAAAUCUUCUUCAGUUCUAGCUCAUAAUUAAUGACCUAUGGGCUAUGGUCACUCCCAAAGUCAGUUGACCGGAAGUUUCGGUGAGUGAUAGUGUGUGUGUUGGUGCCUUUGGACAGAUCACUGGAAAUAUGGAGGAGGAACUGGACUCCAGGAUGCAGUGCAUCCAGUUCUAGGUUAAAAAUGGAUGCUAUGGUCAUCCAUAGUCAAAGCCAGUUGACCGGAAGUUCCAGCGAAUGAUUGAGUGUGUGUUGGUGCUUUUGGACAAAUCACUGGAUAUGUAUGGAUAGAUACGGAGCUUUUGUUAUAUUUGCUGGAUAUAUGUAUAGAUAUAUAUGGAAAAGUCGUAGUUCAAGACGGCAGAGCAUGGAAAUCUUCUUCAGUUCUAGCUCAUAAUUAAUGACCUAUGGGCUAUGGUCACUCCCAAAGUCAGUUGACCGGAAGUUUCGGUGAGUGAUAGUGUGUGUGUUGGUGCCUUUGGACAGAUCACUGGAAAUAUGGAGGAGGAACUGGACUCCAGGAUGCAGUGCAUCCAGUUCUAGGUUAAAAAUGGAUGCUAUGGUCAUCCAUAGUCAAAGCCAGUUGACCGGAAGUUCCAGCGAAUGAUUGAGUGUGUGUUGGUGCUUUUGGACAAAUCACUGGAUAUGUAUGGAUAGAUACGGAGCUUUUGUUAUGUUUGCUGGAUAUAUGUAUAGAUAUAUAUGGAAAAGUCGUAGUUCAAGACGGCAGAGCAUGGAAAUCUUCUUCAGAUAUGUGAACCACAAAAUUUACCUGUAGAAUAGCCCCAGGAUGUUAAGAGAAGAGUCCCCUGUAAUACAGACCUACACACGAAGUAAUUGUAACCAGAAUGACACAGAAAUAAGUAUAACGACUUUGAGCCACAACGUUAAAAUGGAAGAACAAAAUCGAACAGGAACAGGACUAUCGCCAGCUACCCUCUCAAAAUUAUAUCACACUUAAGGACCCAAAUAAUUUUUACAUGCCCUUAACAUGAAAGCUUCCAGAAGUAGGACCACUCUUAUUAUCCUGAGGAUGAGCUAUUCCAGGUAUCCACACACAAUUGGGGGCUGUGCGAUUUAGGACCUGCGAAUAAAUAUUGAUCUAUGCAUCGAAUUAUAUUAUCAUACCUGCGAAGUCCAGAAGUAUACCUGGUAUUUUUUAAACGUCUAUAUUUAAACAAAAGUCGUCUAUGAAGACGACGUUAUUGUACUGCCACACAACAUUUUACGUGAACCAUAUCGCCGCAAAUGGAAUACCCCAUAUAUCAAAUGCUGUACAGACGUCGACCUAGUUAAAAUAAAUAUGUUUACCACAAAA